Molecule: long non-coding RNA, 349 nt
Filed under: Physcomitrium patens
Lineage: Eukaryota; Viridiplantae; Streptophyta; Bryopsida; Funariales; Funariaceae
Description: long non-coding RNA (PPAT_LNC010897)
Source: RNAcentral
GGUAAUCCACAACCUAUAAAACGCCUUAAGAAUUUCAAGAAGAGGGAUAAUCCACUCUCUCCAAGAAGAAUAAGACUCCAAUAUUGUAAUAGAAGAAGUAUCAGUUUAGAGGAGGGUAAUCCGCAACCUCUAAAAAAUGCUAGUAUACCUUCAAGUAGAGGGGUAAUCCACACUCUACUAAGAAAGAACUAGCUCUGAUAUCUCAAGUUAGUGUAGUCUAGACAAACUGUCACGGGCACAAAAUACAGACUUGAAAUCUAACAAGAAGUUCAAGAAGAAAUGACAGAACUAGAUUAAAUAGAUGAGUACAAGAACAACACCAGAAAGGUGAGCUAGAACUCCAAGAGAU